Molecule: long non-coding RNA, 977 nt
Organism: Mustela lutreola (European mink)
Lineage: Eukaryota; Metazoa; Chordata; Mammalia; Carnivora; Mustelidae
Exons: 4
Source: RefSeq, a predicted model, not a curated record
CCUGUGCUGCUGCUUCCUCUCCCUGCUUGGCUUCUGGCACUCUCUCAAAGAGUGUGCGGCUGAGUCAAGACUAAUACUAGAAGAUCUUUUAAAUUUCUAGUCAUUGUUUUUGAUGGAUUUGCUGCAACUCUGCCAUCUGAAACCUGAAGUUGGCUGUUUUCUUAGCAAUGAUGGUUGGAGAUGUGAAUUGAUAAAAUACUGAAAGUAGUUAAGACAUAGAAAAAAUGUGGAGAAAAUUACCACAUCCUUAGCUCCUCUAGAGAAGGAAGAAAAUAAACCCCAAGAAGAAACAGGAAAGAAGUACGAAUACAUACUUGAAAACACACUAUUGUCACAGAUAUCAGGGAAAAGUGAUAGAGGAAGUGGUCAACUGUGUUAAAUGUACCAAAACAUCAAGAAAAAGUAAGAACAAAGAAAGAACUGCUGAGAUUGACAAAUGAAGACAUUGUCAGAAACCAUUUCAGUGAGCAAUCGCACUGGCGUAGUGAAAGAAAUCAUUGGGUUGCAGGAAAUGGAGGCAAUAAAUAGACCCCACUCAUUCAAUGUUAACCGCAAUCCCAAACCACCGUUUCAGAAGUGCCUGCUUUUAAUUGCUGGGGAAAUGCAGUAAACAGGUGUAAAUGACUUGAUGCAGAUUCACCAGUGUUGCAGAAGAAUGCAUGUCAGCGAUGUCCAGAGAUGGCAUUAUCUUUGUAGUUGAAGCAUGUGGCUGAUUUUUCAAAUACCACACAAAAUUCUGAAGCCCUUAGGAGACAGGAACUGUGUUUAAGAGACAGUCAAAAGGAGAAGCUCUGCUUGCUAUGUGCUGAAGUGCUCCCAUCUGUGCUGAAUUCUAACAGAAUGUCUCCUCCAUCAUAUACAGAUUUAUGGAUGGGUUCCUUUAUUACCACACAUCUUUCCUUCUUGAAGAUGACAGAAACCUACAGCUGUCAAUCACUAAUAAGCGUAGUUUUCUUGCAUUACAAUCCACUCUACAG